This 484-nucleotide long non-coding RNA is filed under the name Prunus dulcis (almond). Its description in RNAcentral is "sRNA ncRNA". Lineage: Eukaryota; Viridiplantae; Streptophyta; Magnoliopsida; Rosales; Rosaceae. The record is from RNAcentral.
AAGCCAAGGGAGAAGCUUGAUACAGUAUUCUGUUGCCCCUUCUGCAAUCAUGGGAGCAGCAUUGAAUGCGACAUUGACAUGAAGAACAUGAUUGGGGAGGCUUUCUGCAGCGUUUGCCAAGAGAGUUAUAGCACAACCAUCACAGCUUUGACUGAACCCAUAGACGUCUACAGUGACUGGAUAGACAAAUGUGAACGGGUCAACACCAUUGUUCCUGGUGAUUGUGAUUCGUGCUUAGGAAGCAGAUAGGGGUUUUUAUUAUGGUCUGUCUGUAAAACUCCAUAUCUUUUAACUUCUUGAUGCCAUUAGAAAUUUAUAAUUUUAAGACAUCGCUGAAGGAUGGGCCUAGAGCCUAGAAGAUAACCAUUGUUUUGAUAUAAAAACAAAAUCUGAGAGAAUUAAUUGCUAGUUUUGUGAUUCGAAUAGAAUGGUUUGCUGAAACUGGAUUAAUUGCUAGAAGAAGGAGGAGGAGGAAGAGGACUAG